CUUUACUGUAUCCUGAAAUUGAAUUUUUAUUUUAUUUGCGCAGAAUAGGUGGGAGACUAUGAAAAUAUUCUUUAGGGAGUAUUGGAGUCAUCGUUGAGAUACCACUCUAAUAAAAUUGAAAUUCUAACUUUAUUCCGUAAUCCGGAUAAAAAACAGUUUCAGGUGGGCAGUUUGACUGGGGCGGUCGCCUCCUAAAGGGUAACGGAGGCGUACAAAGGUUUUCUCAGAUCGGAUAGAAAUCGAUCGUAGAGUAUAAAGGCAAAAGAAAGCUUAACUGUGAGACAAACAAGUCGAACAGAGACGAAAGUCGGUCUUAGUGAUCUGACGCUGCUGUGUGGAAAGGGCGUCACUCAACGGAUAAAAGUUA
RNAcentral lists this ribosomal RNA (367 nucleotides) under uncultured organism. RNAcentral's name for it is "bacterial LSU rRNA". It matches the Rfam family "Bacterial large subunit ribosomal RNA", at positions 2099 to 2465 of the family's 2925-position model. The record is from RNAcentral.